ACUUAGUGGCGGACGGGUGAGUAACACGUGGGAACGUGCCCUUUGGUACGGAAUAACUCAGGGAAACUUGAGCUAAUACCGUAUGUGCCCUUCGGGGGAAAGAUUUAUCGCCAUUGGAGCGGCCCGCGUCUGAUUAGCUAGUUGGUGGUGUAAUGGACCACCAAGGCGACGAUCAGUAGCUGGUCUGAGAGGAUGAUCAGCCACAUUGGGACUGAGACACGGCCCAAACUCCUACGGGAGGCAGCAGUGGGGAAUCUUGCGCAAUGGGCGAAAGCCUGACGCAGCCAUGCCGCGUGAAUGAUGAAGGUCUUAGGAUUGUAAAAUUCUUUCACCGGGGACGAUAAUGACGGUACCCGGAGAAGAAGCCCCGGCUAACUUCGUGCCAGCAGCCGCGGUAAUACGAAGGGGGCUAGCGUUGCUCGGAAUUACUGGGCGUAAAGGGAGCGUAGGCGGACAUUUAAGUCAGGGGUGAAAUCCCGGGGCUCAACCUCGGAAUUGCCUUUGAUACUGGGUGUCUUGAGUAUGAGAGAGGUGUGUGGAACUCCGAGUGUAGAGGUGAAAUUCGUAGAUAUUCGGAAGAACACCAGUGGCGAAGGCGACACACUGGCUCAUUACUGACGCUGAGGCUCGAAAGCGUGGGGAGCAAACAGGAUUAGAUACCCUGGUAGUCCACGCCGUAAACGAUGAUUGCUAGUUGUCGGGAUGCAUGCAUUUCGGUGACGCAGCUAACGCAUUAAGCAAUCCGCCUGGGGAGUACGGUCGCAAGAUUAAAACUCAAAGGAAUUGACGGGGGCCC
This 796-nucleotide ribosomal RNA is filed under the name Brevundimonas sp. RNAcentral describes it as "bacterial SSU rRNA". It matches the Rfam family "Bacterial small subunit ribosomal RNA", at positions 90 to 922 of the family's 1533-position model. Lineage: Bacteria; Pseudomonadati; Pseudomonadota; Alphaproteobacteria; Caulobacterales; Caulobacteraceae. The record is from RNAcentral.